This 278-nucleotide ribosomal RNA is filed under the name uncultured archaeon. RNAcentral's name for it is "partial 16S rRNA". It matches the Rfam family "Archaeal small subunit ribosomal RNA", at positions 1047 to 1325 of the family's 1478-position model. The record is from RNAcentral.
GAGACCCAUGCGCUUAGUUACCAAUCCUCUCUCCGGAGGGGAUGUACUCUAAGCGGACUGCCCGUGCUAAAUGGGAGGAAGGAGUGGGCGGCGGUAGGUCAGUAUGGUCCGAAACCCUUGGGCUACACGCGGCAUACAGUGGAUGGAACAAUGGGCUGCGACUUCGAAAGGAGGAGCAAACCCCCUAAACCCGAUCCCAGUCCGGAUUGAGGGUUGUAACUCACCCUCAUGAAGUUGGAAUCCCCAGUAAUCGGAGUUCAUUAUACUCCGGUGAAAAU